CCCCUGCGUAUAUAUUCAAGUGUAUAAAUUCAGGAUGAGAUGAUUAGGAAAGAAUGCUUUUGCUGAUUUCAUAGUAUUUAGUGACAGCUUCAAAAGCGGCAGCAAGAGCAUUUUAGUAUUUGAGAUGAUCGGUGGCUUACUGUUGAGUGCACGGACCACUGGGUUUUGCAUGAUUUCUCUUCAGGGUUCAUUUUUGUUUUCGGGGAUAUGGAUUUCAUAACUUAUUCUGCAUAUAUGACGUGUAUAAGGGUACAAGGAUAAAUGUCUUUGGGGGUUUUCAGAUUUUGAGGGUUGAUGGUGUAACAUGGGGAUUUUUAUAGAAUUGUAUAGGUUGUGAGACGGACUCUUUUUGAAUUAGUCUCAUAAAAUUGUUCUCGAGAUAGAAGUUGCUUUGUAUCUAAAGAUGUGGUAUGUAAAUUGAAUCAUGGUACUGUGGUAUGUAAAUUGAAUCAUGGUACUGUUAGAAGUAAAAGAAAGAUCUACCAACUAAUAGUGGGACAAUUUCAAACAAAUUGUCUGAAUGAAGUCUGAUUUUUGCUACUACUUUGUCAUGAAAUAGGAUUUACUUGUCCUGUCAAUUAGACAAGCAUGCAGAAAGGGAGCUGUGUACCUACGCACUCUGCACAAAACUCGCACAGAAUGAGCUCAAUCAUUGACGAACUCCGACACCUUGCUGGCCAUACAUUUAUUUAGAUAAGGUGAAUGUAAACAUUGAUAAACACUAACUUAAUAGUUUAUGCCAUCAUUAGGAAUUAGAAAUAUACAAUUAGGUGGUUAAGACUGUAAUGCAUCAGCAUGCACCGAGUUAAAACUGAAAAGCGACUGCAACCAUUAUAAUACCAGGUCCACUGCACGUUACUACGCAUUCACGACGUUGAGUCAUAAUUGGAGGCAUCUGAGCAGGAGAGAAUCUACUCGAGUCCAUUAAAAAAGCAAGAGAAGGUACUGGAGCAGAAAGUCAGGCCAUUCUACUUGUAUCUGCUUGCUCCCCCUUUUGUCUUCCAUUCAACUUCAAUUCAAGAUCAAUGAGGAAGUAACAUUUGUUAUGCUCUCUGGUAUAGUGGACAUGACCAUUCAUCUUAUUAAGUAGUUUCCGAGACAGGUUUAGCCCCAGGCCUUCUUGUGUAGUCCGGUGAUUUCCUCCCUCAAACAUCUCUUGGAUGAGAGCAGAAGGCAAGCCCUGACCCAUAUGUGUCAUUCUGAUCUGCAAACGUAUAAAUUCAUUACCAUCUUGUAUCAUCUUCAGACCAGGUGAAAUCUUGAUUUCUACCCAGCCAUCUGGAGAAGGAGCAUGUUGAACCACACUAAGCAAGAUAUCUGACAAGAUCAGCUGAAGCCUAAUUUGAUCACCAUACAAAGCCAGCGUUUUGAUUUCCUCUGGAAUCUCAUGAAAUAGUUUUAUAUUCCUUUCCCUCAGCAAUAUCAUGACUUGACUAACGAUGGCAUCUAAAACAUUUCCCAUAAGAAAUUCUUCUGUCUUGAGCUCAAUGUUGCUUGCAAAGCUCUGCCCAAAAUACCUUCAACAACUCCACAAGAGUCCUCGUGAACAAUUUCAUGAACCAGGGACUUUCCCAUUGCUUCACUGGUUUGUAAUCCAGUCAGCUCUGCAACUUUGGCAUUCCAUCCAUUGACGAGACCUGCUGAAUCAACCCCAAAAAUUGGUGCUGUAGCUGUCUCAAUCAAUCUAACCAUUUCACAUGCCACUGAACUUAGUUCAUCUAUCCCCCGCAUCUCAGUGUCCUUCUGCUGAGCAUAGACCAUUGCCUUUGAACCACUGUCCUCCAUAUCCGGAAACGAGUCUCUAAUUAUUAGCUGUAAAGAAUGAAUAGCAUUAAUUUCUGAAACCUCCCAAGGCAAACUUUUGCUCUUCACCACCUCCAGGAAAGCAUUAAACGAUGAUCUUGGGUGCAUUCUUUCACCAUCAUCUUUAUCUUCUUGAUGAUGCUUGGCUCCCCCCCAUUUGACUUCCUUUGCAGUGUGAGACCUGAACCAGAACAAAAAAUCUCUUGAAGUGAUCCUAGCAGUAGCGAUGCCACAAACAGCAUCACCCAGUAAUGCAGCACCUGGAUAACCAGCACCAGCCAAGCUAUCAGUACUCAACCCGGUAGAAUCUCCAUGAUUGAUGAGCAGCCACUCUGCAAUAUCUUUUACCUGUGAUUCAGUUGGAGUUAUACCCAGCAACCAACAUUUCCCUCCAUAAUAUAGUGCAGCUCCAUCACACUUCACAAGAUCCAUAAUACUAGGCGAUUGAGUGACAAUACCAAAAGGGGCAUCUCGGAGAAGCAUGUCACAGAGCAACGUCUGAGUCCUGAGGAUCUUCUUUUCCACCAACUGUGCUGCCAACUGUAGCUCCAUGUAGAGCUGUAGCCCAAAAGCCUGCAUGAGUAACUCACAUGCAUAACGAAGAGGGAAAGGGACGUAGCGUGGGGAAGUGUGAUGGCACACAACCAGCCCCCAAAGCCUGGUUGAAUCAUUACCAUUUAUGAUAACUGCCAUUACUAAUGAAGCUAUGGAACCCAUAUUGGCCAUGUACUGCGUGUGGCAGCCAUGGGGUGACCGAAGGGUUGAAUUGACCAAACAAAGAGGGUGCUUCAAUUCUUCACUUUGGAUGAUCCUAACUGGACUGGCACGGCAAUCACAAAUCAUCCUCACGCGAUUCUGCUUGAACAAGAAACGUGCUGCUUGAGGAAUAUCUGUGGCAGGAUAGUGCAAACCCAAGUAAGGCUCCAAAUCAGACCUCCUAAUUUCUGACACCACUUCACCAUGAUCAUCAUCGUGGAACUUAUAUACCAUGACUCUGUCAUACCCAGUAAGUUUUUGAACAUCCUCCACGACCGUAUCACACAACACCCCAAUAUCACCACCAGGGAGCGACUGCAUCCUAGAAAUCGCACGAACAGCGAGUUUCUGUGACUGCACAGCGCCAGCAAGAGAGAGAACAGGAUCACUAGAUCUUGCAGGCUCCAAAUCAAUUACAAUUCCCACAUCAAUCCUAUGCAGUAUAGCAUAAAAUGGCUUCUGUGUACUCCUAGAAUGAACCCAAAUCGGGUUUAACAUUGAGAUCUCCCUUGAAACAGCAGCUUUUGUCAAUGAAACCCCCGAUUGAGGCGUAAAAAGGGUUCUUGCAUCGAUUCCAAUCAAACCCUUUACUUGCUUGGACUCGAGUUCAUUGUGUGAACUCAGACCCAACAAUUGAAAGCAAUUUUCACUGAAACCAAUGAUCCUAAAAGUGGGUUCUUCAAUUGCAAGCAUGCAACCUAAGGACUGAAUAAGGCCACCUCUUUGGAUUCUUGAUAGAUAAGCAGUUAUUUGCUCUUCAGGUACAGUAUUUGGAGCCGAAAGCACUGCUCUUGAGUAGUUAAAGCACUUACCAGAGACACCAGAUUGCUCAAACUCAGCUAAAAGCCCAGCAUCGGCAUUGUACUGGGCAAUGGUGGCAUUACUUCUACUGUUAGUGGCCAAAGGUCUCAUACUGCUAGCAGCUGAUGAUGACAGGGUUGUUGUGGCUCCUCUGCCGCUCUGGAACCCCAUCUUAUAGAAGGCUCCGAAUUAUGAGAACUAGAUUUUCCAAGAAGCUCAUGUGGAUGUCGAUAUUGGUGGAGGAGGAGUAGCUGGACAUUUAUCAUCAGUGUACUUGCUGCUGCUGGUUUCUUGGCUCUUUGAUGAUGAUGACGACACUGGCUUUCACAAGUCCCUUUCAUAUUUCUGUGUGGGCUUCUUUACCAUAUUCUCCUGUAAAAAAUUUAGUAGUUUCGAACCAAAUGUGCUGUGUCUACUGACCCUCCACCUUUCUCCAUCUCUUGUUUCCUUGGGGUCCAUGCAAAUGCCUGUCACUGAGUCCCACUCUGUUAUCUUCUUGGACUGCAGAAAUGCAAGGUCCAGCAAGGAAAACCAAUAUCCUCAUA
This 3905-nucleotide unclassified non-coding RNA is filed under the name Hevea brasiliensis (rubber tree). The record is from RNAcentral. Lineage: Eukaryota; Viridiplantae; Streptophyta; Magnoliopsida; Malpighiales; Euphorbiaceae.